AGAUAUUUUUGGUUCCAACUGUUUUCACCUUAUUCACAUAUUUACCUUAAGCUCAUUUUGCAGAUUUGGUCUUAUCAAAUAAGCUAGUUGUCUAUGAUCUUGAGAAUCAAGUUAUUGGUUGGACUGACUACAACUGUUCAUCAAGCAUUAAAAUUCAUGAUGAGAAAACCGGAGCAAUUUACACUGUUGAUGCCCAUAAUUUAUCUUCCACUGCCAGAAGCUUGGAUAUUGGAAAAUUUAUCACUGUUCUCAUUAUUUGCUUGAUGUUUCAUUUAUUCCAUUGAAUCGGCAAAAAUGAUUGAUUAAUAACAUUUUUUUCUCAUGUUGGGUUCAUAUAUAUAGAUGUCAUUACCGAAAAUAAUGUGUACAAUCAUUUUCUCCAUCCUAGCUGACGGAUUUGGAGUUCUUAAUUUCUCAUUUUCAUAUUAUGCUUUGUAAA
This is a long non-coding RNA of Dendrobium catenatum, 439 nucleotides long. RefSeq lists it as uncharacterized. Lineage: Eukaryota; Viridiplantae; Streptophyta; Magnoliopsida; Asparagales; Orchidaceae. The record is from RefSeq and is a predicted model, not a curated record. The transcript has 2 exons.